AGCAGCCGCGGUAAUUCCAGCUCCAAUAGCGUAUAUUAAAGUUGUUGCAGUUAAAAAGCUCGUAGUUGAAUUUCGGGAUCAGUUCGUCGGUCGUGCCUUUGGUAUGUACUGGUGUUACUGGUUCCUCCCUUCUGACGAACCGUCAUGUCAUUAAUUUGGUGUGGCGGGAAAUCAGGACUGUUACUUUGAAAAAAUUAGAGUGUUUAAAGCAGGCUCGCGCUUGAAUACAUUAGCAUGGAAUAAUGAAAUAGGACGUUCGAUCCUAUUUUGUUGGUUUCUAGGAUUGACGUAAUGAUUAAUAGGGAUAGUUGGGGGCAUUAGUAUUCAAUUGUCAGAGGUGAAAUUCUUGGAUUUAUUGAAGACUAACUACUGCGAAAGCAUUUGCCAAGGAUGUUUUCAUUAAUCAAGAACGAAAGUUAGGGGAUCGAAGGCGAUCAGAUACCGUCGUAGUCUUAACCAUAAACUAUGCCGACUAGGGAUCGGAUGAUGUUAAUUUUUAAUGUACUCAUUC
Molecule: ribosomal RNA, 511 nt
Filed under: uncultured Glomus
Lineage: Eukaryota; Fungi; Glomeromycota; Glomeromycetes; Glomerales; Glomeraceae
Description: SSU rRNA
Rfam family: Eukaryotic small subunit ribosomal RNA
Source: RNAcentral